Non-coding RNA from Cadophora sp. MPI-SDFR-AT-0126, 149 nucleotides. The record is from the annotation of a GenBank genome assembly. NCBI's taxonomy places the organism in Eukaryota, Fungi, Ascomycota, Leotiomycetes, Helotiales, Ploettnerulaceae.
GGUCGGGUGGUGUAGUUGGUUAUGUACGUGCUCACCUGAUGAUGACUGACAGGAGUUCAGCAAAGACUAAUAUGCACACAGCACAUCUCGUUAACAGUUUACUGUGACAUAUUCCGAGAAGGUCCUGGGAUCGAGCCCCAGCCUGAUCA